This 574-nucleotide ribosomal RNA is filed under the name uncultured bacterium. RNAcentral describes it as "bacterial SSU rRNA". It matches the Rfam family "Bacterial small subunit ribosomal RNA", at positions 240 to 807 of the family's 1533-position model. The record is from RNAcentral.
AUUAGCUAGUUGGCGGGGUAACGGCCCACCAAGGUGAUGAUGCGUAGCCGACCUGAGAGGGUGAUCGGCCACAUUGGGACUGAGACACGGCCCAAACUCCUACGGGAGGCAGCAGUAGGGAAUUUUCGGCAAUGGGGGGAACCCUGACCGAGCAACGCCGCGUGAAGGAUGAAGGCCUUCGGGUUGUAAACUUCUGUUACGGAGAAAGAACAUACUGGAUAGGAAAUGAUCGAGUAAUGACGGUACUUCGUGAGAAAGCCACGGCUAACUACGUGCCAGCAGCCGCGGUAAUACGUAGGUGGCAAGCGUUAUCCGGAAUUAUUGGGCGUAAAGAGUGAGCAGGCGGUUUCUUAAGUUUGGAGUGAAAAGCAGUUGCUUAACGACUGUUGGCUCUGAAGACUGGGAGACUAGAGUGCAGGAGAGGUUAGCGGAAUUCCAUGUGUAGCGGUGAAAUGCGUAGAUAUAUGGAGGAACACCAGUGGCGAAGGCGGCUAACUGGCCUGUGACUGACGCUCAGUCACGAAAGCGUGGGGAGCAAAUAGGAUUAGAUACCCUAGUAGUCCACGCUGUAAAC